CUUUAGGAGGAGGGGAGCUGUUCUGAGAUCAUACUGCUGGUGUCCUUUAGGAGGAGGGGAGCUGUUCUGAGAUCAUACUGCUGGUGUCCUUUAGGAGGGGAGCUGUUCUGAGGUCAUACUGCUGGUGUCCUUUAGGAGGAGGGGAGCUGUUCUGAGAUCAUACUGCUGGUGUCCUUUAGGAGGAGGGGAGCUGUUCUGAGAUCAUACUGCUGGUGUCCUUUAGGAGGGGAGCUGUUCUGAGAUCAUACUGCUGGUGUCCUUUAGGAGGAGGGGAGCUGUUCUGAGAUCAUACUGCUGGUGUCCUUUAGGAGGAGGGGAGCUGGUCUGAGAUCAUACUGCUGGUGUCCUUUAGGAGGAGGGGAGCUGUUCUGAGAUCAUACUGCUGGUGUCCUUUAGGAGGAGGGGAGCUGUUCUGAGAUCAUACUGCUGGU
This 431-nucleotide long non-coding RNA is filed under the name Salmo salar (Atlantic salmon). RNAcentral's name for it is "lncRNA (ENSSSAG00000081843.1)". The record is from RNAcentral. Lineage: Eukaryota; Metazoa; Chordata; Actinopteri; Salmoniformes; Salmonidae.